This 1072-nucleotide long non-coding RNA is filed under the name Ursus americanus (American black bear). RNAcentral describes it as "lncRNA (ENSUAMG00000022005.1)". The record is from RNAcentral. Lineage: Eukaryota; Metazoa; Chordata; Mammalia; Carnivora; Ursidae.
GUACAGUCCUGAUGCUCUUCAUCACCCAGCAAAAUCUCCUAAUUCCGCAUCAGCUGUCUGCUUGCAUUGGGAGAGGCAAGAAGGGCUCUCCGCAUCAGCCUGCGUGCUCUCUGGAAGCAGGAGCCAGCUCUGUUUGCCUCCAACCGUCCGCCACUCUCUGCAACUCUUCGUUGAUCGAUCUCUGGGAAAACUCUGAUGGGCAUUUUGCCAUUCAGUGGUGCAGGAGCGGCUGCCAAGGCAGUUGGGCAUGGAAAGGAAGAAUGUUAUAAAAACAAGAGAGGAAGUUGGGCCUCUCGCACUGAGAGAAAGGAAGGAUGGGGAAUUUACAGUGAAGAAUGGGAGAUGGGUGCCAUGGCUUGGUAUGUCCUGAUGUCCCCAGCAGGGAGUAGUGCCUGGCAGUGCAUUAGGGAUGUUCCAGCUCGUGCCUCUUUUCAAACCAGCUCCUGGAAAAGGCUACUGGGUUCAGUCCAUGAGUUUGAAAAUGACCGUUGCUUGUGGAGGAGAAAACUUUUGCUCCUUGGAACCUCAUGGGGUGCACUAUUUUGAAUUCAGUAAGUCCAGUGUGGAAGUAAGAGCCAUCAUGCUGUUUGGAUUUAUCAGCAAUUAAGUUUUUAAGCCAACAUUUGUAAAGUGCUAUUUAAUUUAAAACAAUCUUACACAUUAUCCACUUGGUUUUUGAAAUAACUCCAGUAGUUCCAUUUUAUGGAGAUAAAAUUGAGGUCUUAAAAAAGAUUCAAAUAAGGCCACAUAGCUAACAAAAGUCCAUCAGAUUUCCCGAUUUUGCUGUUUUGUUUCACUUAUUUCCUCACACUAAAUCUUUUAUUUUUUGUUUUACCAUACUAAUCAGUGAUACCAUAAGGCUCUAAUUUGGAGCCCAUGAAUUAGUGACAGGGCACCAGUGAAUCUCCUAAAAUUAUUUGCAAAAUUUGCAUGUAAGUGCCUGUGUGCUCUUUUUUCUGGGGAGGGGGACCAUAGUUGGAGCAGAUCCAUAAAUGUUUUCAUGAUAGCAAAACAUUAAACAAAACAUCAUAAAUGGAAAAGUUGUUUGGCUAACACUUCUUAUGCACCUAAC